GUCCUUUUAUUCAAACAUCUCACCCGAAAAAGAUUAAUUCCAACCAUCAGGAGCUACUCUGAUAAAGCAGGAAUGCUGCUGAUAACGAUAGGAACUGAUAGCAGAAAGGUAGCAGCAGCUGUCUGUUCCUGCUAACAGCCCAGAGGUGAAAAGUGAGGGCCUGGGCUGAUCAGCACUGCCAGCCAAGGCCAGAGGGCGGGGUCACCAAGAACCAAUCCCUUGCGGGGAGCAGCUCACACCUACCCAGGAACCUGCUAAUUGAUCAGCACUUGAGGACAUGAAGACGCCUUGGGACUAAAGAAAAUGGGACUUGUCACAAUGUGAAAACAAUAUCAGUCUGGCUAGAAAAGAGGGUGUGUGGACAACCAGUGCUAAUUUGAUCUUUCUUAUAAUAACCUCAUUUUUUUUAAAAUAAAUUAUAUAACAGGUUAACAAAUAGUCUUUGAUAAUCCAGAAUGAGCAUCAAUAAAUAUACUUAUCUCUGCA
Bombina bombina (fire-bellied toad) is the source of this 486-nucleotide long non-coding RNA. RefSeq lists it as uncharacterized. The transcript has 3 exons. The record is from RefSeq and is a predicted model, not a curated record. Lineage: Eukaryota; Metazoa; Chordata; Amphibia; Anura; Bombinatoridae.